AAAAACAUCACCUCCAGCAUUCCCAGUAUUGGAGGCAUUGCCUGCCCAGUGACAACUGUUUAACGGCCGCGGUAUCCUGACCGUGCAAAGGUAGCAUAAUCAUUUGUUCUCUAAAUAAGGACUUGUAUGAAUGGCCGCACGAGGGUUUUACUGUCUCUUACUUCCAAUCAGUGAAAUUGACCUUCCCGUGAAGAGGCGGGAAUGCACAAAUAAGACGAGAAGACCCUAUGGAGCUUUAACUAACCAACCCAAAGAGAAUAAAUUUAACCAUUAAGGARUAACAACAAUCUCCAUGAGUUGGUAGUUUCGGUUGGGGUGACCUCGGAGAAUAAAAAAUCCUCCGAGCGAUUUUAAAGACUAGACCCACAAGUCAAAUCACUCUAUCGCUCAUUGAUCCAAAAACUUGAUCAACGGAACAAGUUACCCUAGGGAUAACAGCGCAAUCCUAUUCAAGAGUCCAUAUCGACAAUAGGGUUUACGACCUCGAUGUUGGAUCAGGACAUCCUGAUGGUGCAACCGCUAUCAAAGGUUCGUUUGUUCAACGAUUAAAGUCCUACGUGAUCUGA
RNAcentral lists this ribosomal RNA (566 nucleotides) under Bos taurus (domestic cattle). RNAcentral describes it as "partial 16S ribosomal RNA". It matches the Rfam family "Bacterial large subunit ribosomal RNA", at positions 1809 to 2608 of the family's 2925-position model. Lineage: Eukaryota; Metazoa; Chordata; Mammalia; Artiodactyla; Bovidae. The record is from RNAcentral.